This is a long non-coding RNA of Myotis lucifugus (little brown bat), 613 nucleotides long. RefSeq lists it as uncharacterized. The transcript is spliced from 2 exons. Lineage: Eukaryota; Metazoa; Chordata; Mammalia; Chiroptera; Vespertilionidae. The record is from RefSeq and is a predicted model, not a curated record.
GGAGCGGAAGUCGGCCGCCGGCGCGGUGGAGCGGGGUGUGAGGAGAAAAAGGGGGUGUUUGCAGCCUCGGCGCCUGUCAACAGGUGAGCGUUAACCAGGAGCUUCUCUGAGGGGCUCCUGGCCCCUUAGGCCCAGCGGCGGCGGAGUCCGUUGUGAACAUUGUGACUCACCCCUGAAGGUAGAUGGAGCAGCGAUACUGCGGCGCUGGGGCCCGGGACCUGGCGGUCAGCCCAGUUCGAAUCCCUCCCUCGCCUGCUCGUGGGCCGCUGGGAGUCGUGUCAGGUGCACACCGCUAGAGAAUAGAAAGGAGGGGAGAGACAUGAGAAAGACACAUUGGCUGCCUCCUGAACAUGCACCUUCCAGGGCCGGGGAUCGAGCCUGCAACUGAGGUUACAUGCUCUUGACCAGAAUUGGACCCGAGACCCUUCAGUCUGCAGCUCAACAGUCUUACCACUGAGCCAAACUGGGUAGGGCUACAUCAUCGUUUUUAAUUGUUACAUGGUAUUCUGUUUGUAUUAUUUAUUUAUUUAUUCUGUUUGUUUUGAUGUACAUCAUUUAUGUAACUAUUUUUAUACUGAAAUUUUAGAUUAUUCUUUAUGUUUCACUCUUAAAA